Long non-coding RNA from Stegodyphus dumicola, 310 nucleotides. NCBI's taxonomy places the organism in Eukaryota, Metazoa, Arthropoda, Arachnida, Araneae, Eresidae. The record is from RefSeq and is a predicted model, not a curated record.
GUUGAAUGUAGCUAAAUGUGUAAGAUGUGUCUUGUCAAGUGAAUUUUCCGUCGUUAUAAUGUGUCAAUAAAGGAUUAAAAGCUAAGUAAAUUUCAAUUACUCUUCUUUAGAAGCUGAGAAGGUCAAGAACCAGUUCUCUAACUGGAAGUGUUGCACUGCGACCAGUGAUUUCGAAGACAAAAAUCGGGUAAAGAUUUUUAAGUCUGAUAAUAAGGCGGCGUCAGCAAUAUUAAAUAGUUGAAGACUCUAACCUUAACUACAGGAUAGACAUGAACGAAAAAUCCACCCUGGAGCUAAAAUUGUAUAAAAU